UCUUGGCUGCUCUGUAUGGGUCCCGGCGUAUGGACCCAUUACAAGGCGGUCUAAACUCUAAUUUUUCUCUCCUUCAUCGCUAAGAAACCGAGGAGCCUUCGGCUCUAAAAUCCUUAAAAAAAGAAAACAAACUCUUUUUUUGGGUCUAAGCCCGGCAAAAACCUUUCGAGCUUUGUGAGCUACGGGGAGAGAGGGGAAUCGGGCUUUGGACAUGGGGCAAGCCUUCCGGAAGCUCUUCGACGCCUUCUUUGGCCUUAAAGAAAUGCGAGUUGUGAUGCUUGGGUUGGAUGCAGCCGGUAAGACAACUAUUUUGUACAAAUUGCAUAUUGGAGAAGUGCUGUCGACAGUCCCAACCAUUGGUUUCAACGUAGAGAAAGUUCAAUAUAAAAAUGUGAUGUUUACAGUGUGGGAUGUUGGUGGGCAAGAGAAACUAAGACCCCUGUGGAGGCAUUACUUUAACAAUACUGAUGGGCUGAUCUAUGUAGUUGAUUCCUUGGACAGAGAAAGGAUUGGAAUGGCAAAACAAGAGUUUCAGGCUAUUAUCACGGAUCCUUUCAUGCUGGACAGUGUUAUAUUGGUAUUCGCUAACAAACAGGACUUGAGAGGGGCAAUGACCUUUCAUUUUCAUGCAGAGAGGGGCAAUGACCCCAAUGGAGGUUUGUGAAGGACUGGGCCUAUACGAUCUGAGGAACCGGAUAUGGCAUAUCCAAGGAACUUGUGCUAUUAGUGGUGAAGGCCUUUACGAGGGACUGGACUGGCUGGCAACUACAUUGAAGGAGCUGAAACCCUUUGGACGUUCCGUGUCAGUUGGCAGCUCCUCAUUCUGAUUGCAAAGGUGCCAGCUCUUGUUUGACUUACUCUGACAAGCAAGCUUUGUGGAUCAUAGAUUGGAGCCAAAGUACCAAGAAUGAUCACAAAGGGAGGGGGUUACCUCCCAUCCGGCCACUCGAGCGUCAGCAGAAUUCGAGCCCAGAUCAUUUGAUAACACCCAUUAGCGGGGUUAGCCAUGCAUCCAAAUGAUUUUACCAACAUGAUAGGUUGGCAGCCACUGAGGUGAUGAUCAUGAGCGAACGCAAGAGUCAAAAAAGUAUCCUGACCCGCUGCUGCAAUGGAAUGGGUAUGAGUCAGGAUUGCAUAUGUUAUUGUCCAAUCCCAAUCUACCUCCAUUGGAUCCAUUGCCACCAUAGAAAUCACUAUCUGUGAUCUUCAUCACAUGUCCUUGUUGCAACCAAAAAAAUAAGUGUUGAAAUGAUGGGUAAAUCAUUCCCCCAUGCUCCAAGCUAGUGAACUUUAAUUUCUUGGCAUUUAUAGGUUGGUUUCGAUAAUCUCUAAAGACGUCAUGGCUGCCCUUAGAGAGAGAUGCUUUACCGACCUUAAGGGGAGAAAACUCCUGUCUCGCUCCUCUUUGUCCAUUCAUGGGAGAAACUAGUGACACUUUGAUCACUCUACUGCGGUCUUCAGUACAUUAAGCAUUCCAAUCUUUCUAGUCUACCCUUGCUUCGUAGAAACUCUAUGUGCAAUCUAGAUAUUCAGCCAGUCGGUUUGUUAAUGAAUUUGGAUCAUUUGAGAUAUCGAGUCACCAAACCAUCCUAAUCGGUUUUUGAAGAAGAUUGGUUUUUCAUGACUUCCCGCUCUAAGUCAUAUCAACAAGUUUGUA
This is a non-coding RNA of Elaeis guineensis (African oil palm), 1657 nucleotides long. The record is from RefSeq and is a predicted model, not a curated record. NCBI's taxonomy places the organism in Eukaryota, Viridiplantae, Streptophyta, Magnoliopsida, Arecales, Arecaceae.